UAAAAGCUCAUCCACCAAUGUGACAUCUCUACAAGUUGACAGUAGAACAAGAAGUUGGGUGAUUCAUUUAAUCUCUCAUCUGUGAACAUCAGCAGAACCGUGGUUAUGGCAGGUUGUUUGAAAGUGCUCUGUCUCCUUAGUCAAUUUAAAUACCAGAUUGGCUGCAACUGGCUUCAGCAGAACUGUGUUUGCUAGUCCAGCAUCCAUUCUGUCUGUGCUAUGUUGCAUAGCUUUGAUUCUCUGUGAGUCCUGUGGCCUUCAGUUCAACCCACUCCCUGACCAUCCAAUGGGAAUCAUCACAAUCCUGUACCUCAUUGACUCAGUGAGCUUUCAGCCAUGGCUGAAUGAAACAAAAGAUACACAGCAGGGAUACAUUUGUGCAGGUAAAAAGGGAUGCUGGGGAUGGAGCUGACACAUGGAGAACUAUACAAGACCCCCAAAUUAUAAAUAAAUAGAGUAUAAUCUAUUAAAUAAUGCUUAUUAUUUAUAUAAGUAGUAUGUUACCUGGAUUAUUUAGGCUGGUUUCUUGAUUGUUUUUUAAAUUACUUCCAGCAGAAAGCAUUCUGUUAUAAGAUAAGAAUGCAUGGACCAUUUUUGUCCAUCAUGAGCAUUAUAUGGUAUCUUAUCUUGGGUAAGAAAUUUUUGAUAUUUGUUUUUAAAAUUUUGCAUAUGCUUUUUUCAUCAAUACUUGAAAAGUACUUUUCAGCAGCAGUGUGCAUUUCUAUGAGUUUUGCAUCAAAUGAAAUUGUGAUACAGAAACCCUGGGCAUUCUGACAUAAUCCACUCCAUAGCUGUGCAAAUCUAGGAAGUGAGAUAAGCUAUAUAGAAAGACAGAAAAGCUGAACAGCAAUAAGAAUUUGCAUGGAAAAAAGACAAAUGCAUGGGAAAUUUUUUUUAUUUUUUCUCUUGUUACAAAGUUUAAGAAAAAUAUAGAGAUAAGACCUUAUCCUUGGAAAGAAUAUGCUUAUUUCUUUCUUUAGUCCUAUUGUAUUGUUUUAAAUACCACAGUCAUUAGGCCCUCAGAAGACUUAACCUGUUGAAAUAAGAUGGAAUGAGACGGAAUAUAAUAGCAGGGAAGUAUUUGUCCAGUGAAAGGGGUGCUGGAGAUGAAGCUGACACAUGCAGAACUAUAUAGCACCCACAAAACUGUAAAUAAAUAGAGUAUGGCAUACAUGUCCAAGAGAUAGCAAGGCACUAAGAAGGGUUUUCAGCAAAGUGCUAAGUGGAUCCCAUUCAUAGCUUUGUACUCCAAAUCUUUAGUUUUUCAAACCCACGUAUCAAUAAAGAAUAAAUAUUACUGUUUUUAAUGAUCUAUUAUUCAAGCUAUUUAAAAGACUCUUGUUACAAAGUGACAUUCAUCCCCAGCUUGGCGAUUGAUUAAAGGCAGUCCUCAAAAUUGCCUGGGUAGGUUUGUGUUAGGGGCAGUGUCCACCAGAGAGCUGGUUUUCAGCUUUGAUCUUUGGUCACUAGCUACAUGUAAAGCAGCUUGAGAUGUAAUUCUUUAGCUCAGAGCCAUUCUGUUUCCUAAAGUUUCUGUUCUGAAAUGAACAAAGUGAGAGGGUUCAAUGACCCCCCUCCUGAGUUUCUAGAAUGGGUUUUCAACUGAAGCUCAGCAUGUAUGUAAAUUGGGGAAGGGUGAAAUACCCUCCAGAAAACAUGGGGCAUUUUCAGACUUACUUCUUAACACUUAGCUGCAAAGUGUUGAGUCUGUGGUUGGUGCCCAGCGUGCUACCUCGCUGUCUCGGUCUUCCAUUGUAAAUUGUCCGUCUUUAAUAAGAAGGGUCAUUAAUUUUUAUGGAAAACUGUUUAGCUUUUAAUGAGAAAAAUUGUAUUGAUUGAACAUAUGUCUCUCUGUGUGCCUGUAAAACGAAAGGUGAUAAAACAUAUCAUUGCCAUGAAGACCUUUCAUGAUUGGUUGGGUUACUUGUUGUAUUGAACCAUCAAUUAAUGUUUAUUAAAGUAACUUCCAGAGUGCUAACUAAAUCAUGCACUCCAUCAUAGCUAUUUGCCACCUCUAUAUGUUCAGCCUUGAAAGUAACUGUGCAGAACCAUCUGGAAGCUUGUGCUGAGAUGCUGUUUUAUGCUCCAAGCAUAGACACUGGAAUUAUUACCCUUGACUAAAAAGCUAAAUUGUCUCAUUACAAGAAUUUAUGAAAGUAUGUAGGUUUCUAGUGUUCUCUAAUCUACUCUUUAUUUUGUUUUGUUUUGUUUUUGAGGAUACCCUUUUUUUAAGAUUUAUUUGUUUGUUUGUUUGUUUGUUUAUUUAUUUAGUCAAUGUUCUGCCUGCAUGUAUGCCUGCACUCCAGAAGAAGGCACAAGAUCUCAUCAUAGAUGGUUGUGAGCCACUGUGUGGUUGCUGGGAAUUGAACUCAAUACCUCUGGAAGAGCAGCCAGUGGUCUUAACAUCUGAGCCAACUCUCCAGCCCUAAGGAUACUCUUAACAUAGAACAAACACUUCUUAAGGUGCACUUACCUGAAAAACCAGGUACAUAUAUAUAUUUUUAAAGUAUAUUUAAUGAAAUCACAAGCUUUGGCCUAUAUUUUGGUGAAUGUUCUGAUAAUGUCACAUGUGAUAUGAGAAGUUAACAUUCUAUGAACACUUUUAUUGUUGUCUAAAUUUACUCUAUCAGACAGUCAGAAGCAAGCAGAGUAAGCUGUGUAUACUGUAUCGUGUUACCUACAUUAAGGCUACAUUUACCAUUGUUGUUAGGUAGGACCACAUUCUAUUUCAGUGUGUGUGUGUGUGUGUGUGUGUGUGUGUGUUAUGGCUCAGAAAAGGGCUAAAGAGCUUACCACAGAUAUUAGUAAACCCUGGAAGAACUCACACAGUCUGUGACCUACAUUUGGCAAAUUAGAAAGCAUGCAAGUUUUUCUCUCUGUGUUUUCAGACUGCUUUGUUUUCCCAAUUUGUAAUGUUCUGCUAUUUAGACAUUAUGGUACCUUCAUGGUUGUGAUCUAAUUAGGAUUCCUCCUAAAAGAACCCACCCUUUCCCCUCUUUCUACUGUGGUUAAUGUUCCAUUAUAGGUGUUUGUGCUGCUGUUCUCCCAAUAUUUAAGCAAAUCAUUCUUUCAGUACCUUGUGGAGGGGGAAAUGCAAAAGCUCAUGGAUCAAAAUGCACCAUAAAUUUGUUUCCAAUUUACAUCUUCCCAUUGCUGCUGACAAUGGAUAUGUUGUUGUGUCCUUAUUGCUUACUUCAUUAGUGUUCCUUCGUGCGACUUUUCUAUAAACAUAUUCCAGAGCAAAGAGUCUGUGGCCAUUAAGGCUGCAAUGCCCUAAGCUCACUGAGCCUGUUGAUAGUCAUCCCUGUCUUUCUUAUAAUGCCCUGUUCCAGCCUUCAUACUUUACAUACUUCAUACUUCACAAAUUUCUGGUAAUGCUUUAUGACUGAUGAUUCAGAGUAACCAAAUAGAAGAAGCCACAACUGUCAAUCGCAUAGAAUAAUCUGCAAGGUCAAGUUUCCAUUCAAUGUUCAGUGAGCUGUGGAAAUCAUCCAACCUUUGGAGUAUAUUGAUAAGAUGGUAUAGAUAUCAACCACGUGAAAGUAUUCAUUUCUGCCACACUCCUUCUGCUGCAUUACAUGUAUGGGAUUAUAUAGCUGUCAUGUUUAAUGUGUUUGAGCUGUCCCCUCAGUGAGUCAUGUUAUAUAUAGUCUGGGCAUGCCUUACAGGGAAAAAGAGUACCCAUAAGUUAGUAUGCAAUCAGAACCUGUGUUGACUGAAGGAUGGGAACAGUUUUUCCCUCAGAUGAUUUGCCUUGGAUGAUUUGGCUAUGACUACUUGUAAUAAGAAACAAGGGUCCUGGCCAUAGAGCUUAAGAAAAUUCUUACCCUUGUAUCAUUGUAUAGUGCAAUUAUAUAAAACACAAUUUUAAGGAAAAGAAUGAAUCAAAAUCGUUUUGUGCUAGACUUUUCAGCAUUGCGGCAAAUACUUGACAUAAAAGUGUAAAAUGAGGGUGGACUUAUUUUGGCCUAUGAUUUUAGAGGUUAAACAUCAUUGUUGCCUGGUUGACAUUUCUGGGCUGGUGUGAAGCAGAAUAUAACAGUUCAAUAUAGGGGGAAAGAAUGUCUUACUUCAUGGUGGCUGGGAUGCAGAAAGACAGUAUGUACUGGUGACAAGAUACUCUUCAAAGGCGCACACUGGUGACCUAGUUUCUCCAGCUAGGUUCUACCAACUACAGUCUCCAGCAUCUCAUGUAUAGUACUAUUAGUACUGAACAGCGCCUUAAAGACCUGAGUCUGUGGAGGCAGCUGCUGGUGAUUGGCUGUCUGCUGUCCCUCACUUUCUGGGUCUUUGUGACUGCUGCUCCAUCCAUCAGCCUGUGAAUAAGCUUUCCCUGUCUUUGGUUAGCUUCCACUGAGCUCAAGCAUGACUUCCUCUGUAAAGUUUCUUCUGUUAUUUAAUCCUUCUUUCUCCUUCAGUUAAUUGUUGGAUAUACUGUUUAUCAUCCUGGACUAUAUUCUAAUAUUUUGUCCUUUGUUUCCUCUCAUGAUGAUGAGCAAUUUAAAUGUAGGAAAUACUUUAUCAUUGUGUCUAAGAACACUAGAUUCCUAUAACACUGGGUUGUCAUUUAAAAUAUGUUUUCACAUUUCACUGAUGGACAGAAACAAAUAGAUUAUGUUCUAUGCAUGCAUAGAAUGUGUAAUGAUCAGGUCAGAGUAACUGUCAUACAUGUGACCUCAGACUUCACCAUUUAUAUAUGCUGAGAAUAUUCUGUAUCCUAUAAAAUUCUUUGUUCUUCAUUAUCCUGUAAAAUAUUUACAUAGUGUAAAAUAUUCUACUGUACUUUAAAAUAUUUAGAAUUUAUUUCUAAAUUGAUUUAUUUUUACUGUCCAUCUCUACUAAUGAUAACAGAUUUUUGGUAGGAAAUUAUUUAAAGGAAUAAAUGAGAGAAAACUUCGAGAACAGGAUUUCAGAUGUUAAGCCAUCUUUAGAAUUAACAGAGCAGAGACAUGUUAAUAAAAAUGACAGUACAGUGUGGAAUUAUGAUAGCUCCUGUCUAAAAAAUUAUGAUCUAAUUUUUUCACAGAACUUAAAAAAAAACUUUAACCAACUAAAUGCAUGUUGUCACAAUCACUCACUAGCUGUUCUUUGAAUUCACAAGACAAGUAGCACUUUGCUUAAAUUGAACAGGGAUUCAAACAAUCUUAGACUAUGAAAUGUCUUCAUAACAGUAAACCAAUUAUUAGGAAAUAACAAGUGCACCUUUUCAUCUUUUAAUCAAUGCACAAAUAUCCAUUAUUACUCAUGAAUGACGAUUGAGAUGCUGGACUGCAAACGAUUUAUGAUGUAGUCCUGAGAAAUUGUUGGAUGGCUAGGGUGGUAAUUUACCUUUCAUUUCUGUUUUAGAUUUCUAAGGCAGUUAUUCCAGGCUAAAAUUUUUGUGAUAUUCUUUAUUUGAAUAGCCUGCACGACAAAAUAAAUAGUUUGUAGAAGUUA
Long non-coding RNA from Peromyscus leucopus (white-footed mouse), 5436 nucleotides. RefSeq lists it as uncharacterized. The record is from RefSeq and is a predicted model, not a curated record. Lineage: Eukaryota; Metazoa; Chordata; Mammalia; Rodentia; Cricetidae. The transcript has 2 exons.